Molecule: ribosomal RNA, 215 nt
Filed under: Salmonella enterica subsp. enterica serovar Give
Lineage: Bacteria; Pseudomonadati; Pseudomonadota; Gammaproteobacteria; Enterobacterales; Enterobacteriaceae
Description: partial 23S ribosomal RNA
Rfam family: Bacterial large subunit ribosomal RNA
Source: RNAcentral
GUAAUAGCUCACUGGUCGAGUCGGCCUGCGCGGAAGAUGUAACGGGGCUAAACCAUGCACCGAAGCUGCGGCAGCGACGCUUAUGCGUUGUUGGGUAGGGGAGCGUUCUGUAAGCCUGUGAAGGUGUGUCGUGAGGCAUGCUGGAGGUAUCAGAAGUGCGAAUGCUGACAUAAGUAACGAUAAAGCGGGUGAAAAGCCCGCUCGCCGGAAGACCA